Long non-coding RNA from Brachypodium distachyon (stiff brome), 3961 nucleotides. RefSeq lists it as uncharacterized. NCBI's taxonomy places the organism in Eukaryota, Viridiplantae, Streptophyta, Magnoliopsida, Poales, Poaceae. The transcript is spliced from 3 exons. The record is from RefSeq and is a predicted model, not a curated record.
GGAAAGUGAAGCGCACUGGAAAAGGCGCGCUGGGAGGCGCCUUGUUGCCGCCUGCUCGCUCUCCAAUAGCAAGCAAGAGGGAACGACACUGUCGAGGGUCCUCAUCGCCGACCGUCGCACUCCAUCGGCACCGACCGUAGAAGGCAAAUGAACCUAGAAAGAGAAGCACACGAGAAUUUUGAAACUUACACAAACUGGCCGCCGCAAGGAGCCAUGGUCCCUAAAGCACAAUAUUGCCAUGAGCCCAAAUGCCUCUGAAUGACGCAGUAUCACCCACAAAUCUUAAAUAUGGAAGCUAAAACUAAAGUAAAGUCACACAUGCCCUCACAGGUAAAAGUUUCUAAAUCUUUCCAAGCAUUCAAGCUUAUUCAAUUAAUAUUCCAUAACCUUAUUUGAUGUCAUCAGUGGUCAAUUGAAGGUUACUUCCUUAGAAUCAUAGUUAUUAGUACUUAAUGUUAUUUCCACUUUGCAUGAUUUGGCUGUUAUGUAUACAAAACCAAGAUGAUGGUUGUUUGCUUUUGUUGAAAUACUGGAGAUUCUGGAGCAAUCAAGAUUUUUGAUAGGACUAGCUUAAUAUAUGUCCGUUUCCACGGACAGUUGUCCAGCUAUUGUUAUCAUGCUUUGUGUCAUGUCUUUGAAAGCUUUGCAAAAAAAUUGGAGAUGGUUCCACAUGUAAGAAAAUGAAAAAGAAUAUGUAUUCCCAUGGUCCUUAUGCUAUUCUCAAAGUCAUGUACAGAAGCCUAUUAUUCAAUAAAAUAGAAUUCCCAUUUCAAAUGCCUUUAUCAUUAUGUUUUUUACGUUUACUAUAUCAUACUCCACUCCAGUACCAGCGACAAUUAUUAUGGAUCGGAGGGAGUAUUAAUUUUAGUUUACAUCCAAAUCUGUCCUUCUCAACUACAAGUACGGGCGCGGCAACGCGUUCUUUUAUGGUCUGGUGUCCUACAAAGAAGAGAUGCUUGGAGUCUUCCCCAGACCUAACUUGUGAUAAAUUCAUUUAGACUUGUAGUUCUUGUUAAAUUCCAAUUGUUAUGUGUUAUAUAUCUUGUCAGUUCUCAUUUUGUUGACUGAAAAUCACAUCCUUUAGUAUGUAACUGUUAACGGGUACUUGGCAUUUCUACCAGGGCAACACCUACAUUAUCAAAGGAUGCAACAGUAACUACUGUUGCUACAUCUACUACCUUCUCACUUGACUAGUAAAACCAACAUAUCCAUCAAUUAAUUGUUCUAUGAAAUACAAAUAUCGAUCUGUAAGUACAAAAUUACAACAAAACUUUUGUGUUGUCAAGCUAACUUUACAUGAAUUUUUUUAUGAUGCCUACAUUUCCACAUGAUAAAUCUUCUUUGUUAAUCACUAAGUAUUCGUACAUCUACACAACUCGGACAGUAUAUUGUACAACUAUAUUUCUGAGAUUCAUCGUUGUCUUCUUGAUGAUUAUUUUUAAUUUUGUGCCAUGAAGAUAUCAUCGAAUGUGCAGAUAAUGCAAAGUAUCCAGCGAGGACACCCAAGGAUCUUAAAAAGAAUGCAACGCUGUAGUCCGAAAUUCCGACUUGCAGCACAAAUGUCGAUAGGUACUUACUAUUUCUUCUCCGCCUUAUGUAUAUACAAUUCCGCAGCACUAAUUAAUCUCUCUGGUAUAUAGGUAGUUCUUCUUUGAAUUUCACAUAGUUCAACGUCCUUUAUCUAGCUAGGUCACUUAGAAUAACUAUUUGUUCGAUUAUUUAGCUAUCUAGCUGAGUAUCUGGAUUAUGUAUAUGAGGUGACGGGAUAAGUGACCAAAAUUGUUUGAGAACUAAUAAUUCCUUCUAUUUAACAAGUUUCAAUCACUGUCACUGGAUCCCAAAUAAUGGAGAGCCACCAUCUCUUAUGGAGUAUCAUGCAGGAUCUGAGAACCACUUACAUUGAAUUUCAUAUUUUUUUUAAUGUUCUUUAGCUUAAUGUUUAAAGUGCUUCAAGGCACAGCAGGGCCUUAAACUCAAACAUUAACUUUACUACCUUUUGCUGGUAGAUUAAUAAUUGCAGAUUUUCGUUAUAAAAAUAGUUAGGUUUGGUAUUUCUUUCUCAAUGUGGGUGCAAUAGUCUUGUCUUGGUAUGAUUUGAUGUGCAGCUUCUCCAAGCAAGGGAAUGAUUUGAGGAAGACAAUAACUGCAUCAAGAUUAGGGCCACUAGACGUGAGAUGCAAAACCUUGACGCUGCGCAUCAGCAUUUUCAAGUUGCCAGCAACCAUUCCCUAAUAAUAGAGAAGGCAUACACAUUACAAAACAGGAUCAGAUACAACAUAUGAUGCAUAUUAUUGAAUCCCAGAUACAAGUUGGCCACAGCUACCUGAGAAGUCGCGGACCCAAGAUUGAGAUGCAAAACCUUGGCGCUGCGCAUCAGCGUUUUGGAGUUGCCAGCAACCAUUCCCUAAUAACAGAGAAGGCAUGCACAUUAUAAAACAGGAUCAGAUACACCAUAUGAUGUGCAGUAUUGCAUCCAAGAUACAAGUUGGCCAUAGCUACCUGAGAAGUCACAGACCCAAGAUUGAGUUGUGUAAAAUCGUCUGUCAUGGAGCCCAAGAUUUUGGUGCCUUGAUUAACUGGAUGACUGGCUCGGGGAGAACAACAGUUACGAGUCUUCUGACCAAUCUUUCUAGGCUAGGGGCAUUUUCUAUGACUAGUUGAGAGCAAUGCCGACAUCCACGGAUGACGAUUCUCCGAAGAGUCCCUGAAUUGGUGAGCAGGUACUCAAAGUCAAGCAGCAAGGUGUCGAGGACAGGGCAGCCAGCGAGCAGGCCUUGGAGGGUGUCUCCCCGUACGGAAAGGAGUUCCAUGGUGAGCUUUUCUAGGCAAGGGAAGUUAAACGACGGUGUGGUGUCGUCCUCAAAGAAGCUGCAAUUGCCGAAUCUGGCAAGUGGCAACGCGCAGGGUCGGCGCGAAGCGGAGCAAGGAUAUUGGCACUGGAGCGUCGUACUUCGGGAGCCAGAGUUCAAUCUCCUGGAGAUUUCGGAGAGCGGGGUACCUGAGCCAGCGGUCUGGAGUUAGGAUCGCUGAUUUGAAGACACGGAGGCUUAAGCGGCGUGCCGGGCCCUUGUGCUCGGAGAGGAUCUUGCCAUCUUGGACACGACGGUGAAGCGGUGGCAGCCACACCCGUUGAUAUCGGAAACGUGGUUGAGCGAGAGAUGCGCCACAGGUGACGCCACCGGCGGGAGAGGGCGGUGGUGCGCACGCCGUCGCCGAUGGAGAGGUGAGAGAUGAUGGUGUUGAGGAUCUCGACGGGGAGGGAGCUGAUCAGAUCGAUUUCCUCCAGCUUCCUCGCCUUCUUGGCAACGGGGACUUCCGGCGCCGCCACCAUGGCAGGUGGCUCGUGGGACGGCCGAGUGGUAGGGUUGGUUGAGGUGAUCUGUCCCGGGGAUAUAUUUUCGUGAGAGCAGAUGUCAAGCGUUUGAUUUAAUUGACAUGCCAGAUUAAUAGAUACCCAUUCGCGCACGUGUAGAAGUAAAAAGAGUAAAUUUCAAAGAAACACCGUAUUUGAGUCAUCCUUAUCACGGAACCACAGUUUGCGACAAUUUUCUUGCGAAACCACAGUUCUUGCGCCUAAUUUUCUCGGUUCAGCCAAAACACGAUUUGAAGCUCGUUUGACACGAUUUCUUACAAGUGGGGCCCACUCUCAGGUCGCAUCCAUUUUUACGUUAGGCCCUGCAUAAUUUCGUUCAUCUUUUCUUUGCGCCCAAAUCGCGCUUCAAAUUGUGUUUUGGACGAACCGAGAAAAUUAGGCGCAAGAAAUGUGGUUUUGUGAGAAAAUUAUCGCAAACUGUGGUUCUGUGAGAAGCAUGUCUCAAACUGUGAUUCCUUGAAAUUUACUCAAGUAUAAAAGGACCGUAUAUUAGCCACUUAAGAUAAUUUAGUUCUGAAAACACUGAAACCUAAAUUCGAUGACCAAAUAGCACAUGUUCCUAAGUUAAGGAACGGUGCGUGCAUUUUA